UGUAUAAUGGGUCAGCGACUUAUAUUCUGUAGCAAGGUUAACCGAAUAGGGGAGCCGAAGGGAAACCGAGUCUUAACUGGGCGUUAAGUUGCAGGGUAUAGACCCGAAACCCGGUGAUCUAGCCAUGGGCAGGUUGAAGGUUGGGUAACACUAACUGGAGGACCGAACCGACUAAUGUUGAAAAAUUAGCGGAUGACUUGUGGCUGGGGGUGAAAGGCCAAUCAAACCGGGAGAUAGCUGGUUCUCCCCGAAAGCUAUUUAGGUAGCGCCUCGUGAAUUCAUCUCCGGGGGUAGAGCACUGUUUCGGCAAGGGGGUCAUCCCGACUUACCAACCCGAUGCAAACUGCGAAUACCGGAGAAUGUUAUCACGGGAGACACACGGCGGGUGCUAACGUCCGUCGUGAAGAGGGAAACAACCCAGACCGCCAGCUAAGGUCCCAAAGUCAUGGUUAAGUGGGAAACGAUGUGGGAAGGCCCAGACAGCCAGGAUGUUGGCUUAGAAGCAGCCAUCAUUUAAAGAAAGCGUAAUAGCUCACUGGUCGAGUCGGCCUGCGCGGAAGAUGUAACGGGGCUAAACCAUGCACCGAAGCUGCGGCAGCGACACUAUGUGUUGUUGGGUAGGGGAGCGUUCUGUAAGCCUGUGAAGGUGUACUGUGAGGUAUGCUGGAGGUAUCAGAAGUGCGAAUGCUGACAUAAGUAACGAUAAAGCGGGUGAAAAGCCCGCUCGCCGGAAGACCAAGGGUUCCUGUCCAACGUUAAUCGGGGCAGGGUGAGUCGACCCCUAAGGCGAGGCCGAAAGGCGUAGUCGAUGGGAAACAGGUUAAUAUUCCUGUACUUGGUGUUACUGCGAAGGGGGGACGGAGAAGGCUAUGUUGGCCGGGCGACGGUUGUCCCGGUUUAAGCGUGUAGGCUGGUUUUCCAGGCAAAUCCGGAAAAUCAAGGCUGAGGCGUGAUGACGAGGCACUACGGUGCUGAAGCGACAAAUGCCCUGCUUCCAGGAAAAGCCUCUAAGCAUCAGGUAACAUCAAAUCGUACCCCAAACCGACACAGGUGGUCAGGUAGAGAAUACCAAGGCGCUUGAGAGAACUCGGGUGAAGGAACUAGGCAAAAUGGUGCCGUAACUUCGGGAGAAGGCACGCUGAUAUGUAGGUGAAGCGACUUGCUCGUGGAGCUGAAAUCAGUCGAAGAUACCAGCUGGCUGCAACUGUUUAUUAAAAACACAGCACUGUGCAAACACGAAAGUGGACGUAUACGGUGUGACGCCUGCCCGGUGCCGGAAGGUUAAUUGAUGGGGUUAGCGGUAACGCGAAGCUCUUGAUCGAAGCCCCGGUAAACGGCGGCCGUAACUAUAACGGUCCUAAGGUAGCGAAAUUCCUUGUCGGGUAAGUUCCGACCUGCACGAAUGGCGUAAUGAUGGCCAGGCUGUCUCCACCCGAGACUCAGUGAAAUUGAACUCGCUGUGAAGAUGCAGUGUACCCGCGGCAAGACGGAAAGACCCCGUGAACCUUUACUAUAGCUUGACACUGAACAUUGAGCCUUGAUGUGUAGGAUAGGUGGGAGGCUUUGAAGUGUGGACGCCAGUCUGCAUGGAGCCGACCUUGAAAUACCACCCUUUAAUGUUUGAUGUUCUAACGUGGGCCCCUUACCGGGGUUGCGGACAGUGUCUGGUGGGUAGUUUGACUGGGGCGGUCUCCUCCUAAAGAGUAACGGAGGAGCACGAAGGUUGGCUAAUCCUGGUCGGACAUCAGGAGGUUAGUGCAAUGGCAUAAGCCAGCUUGACUGCGAGCGUGACGGCGCGAGCAGGUGCGAAAGCAGGUCAUAGUGAUCCGGUGGUUCUGAAUGGAAGGGCCAUCGCUCAACGGAUAAAAGGUACUCCGGGGAUAACAGGCUGAUACCGCCCAAGAGUUCAUAUCGACGGCGGUGUUUGGCACCUCGAUGUCGGCUCAUCACAUCCUGGGGCUGAAGUAGGUCCCAAGGGUAUGGCUGUUCGCCAUUUAAAGUGGUACGCGAGCUGGGUUUAGAACGUCGUGAGACAGUUCGGUCCCUAUCUGCCGUGGGCGCUGGAGAACUGAGGGGGGCUGCUCCUAGUACGAGAGGACCGGAGUGGACGCAUCACUGGUGUUCGGGUUGUCAUGCCAAUGGCACUGCCCGGUAGCUAAAUGCGGAAGAGAUAAGUGCUGAAAGCAUCUAAGCACGAAACUUGCCCCGAGAUGAGUUCUCCCUGACUCCUUGAGAGUCCUGAAGGAACGUUGAAGACGACGACGUUGAUAGGCCGGGUGUGUAAGCGCAGCGAUGCGUUGAGCUAACCGGUACUAAUGAACCGUGAGGCUUAACCUU
RNAcentral lists this ribosomal RNA (2337 nucleotides) under Escherichia coli. RNAcentral's name for it is "partial 23S ribosomal RNA". It matches the Rfam family "Bacterial large subunit ribosomal RNA", at positions 609 to 2925 of the family's 2925-position model. The record is from RNAcentral. Lineage: Bacteria; Pseudomonadati; Pseudomonadota; Gammaproteobacteria; Enterobacterales; Enterobacteriaceae.